This 525-nucleotide ribosomal RNA is filed under the name uncultured bacterium. RNAcentral's name for it is "bacterial SSU rRNA". It matches the Rfam family "Bacterial small subunit ribosomal RNA", at positions 21 to 518 of the family's 1533-position model. The record is from RNAcentral.
GGUUCAGGACGAACGCUGGCGGCGUGCCUAAUACAUGCAAGUCGAACGGUCUUUUCUAUGGAAGCUUGCUUCCACUGAGAAGAUAGUGGCGAACGGGUGAGUAACACGUGGGUAACCUGCCCAUAAGAGGGGGAUAACAUCCGGAAACGGGUGCUAAUACCGCAUAGUUUUCUUGAUCGCAUGAUCGGGAAAGGAAAGACGGCCUUUGUGCUGUCGCUUAUGGAUGGACCCGCGGCGUAUUAGUUAGUUGGUGAGGUAACGGCUCACCAAGACGAUGAUACGUAGCCGACCUGAGAGGGUGAUCGGCCACAUUGGGACUGAGACACGGCCCAAACUCCUACGGGAGGCAGCAGUAGGGAAUCUUCCGCAAUGGACGAAAGUCUGACGGAGCAACGCCGCGUGAGUGAAGAAAGGUUUUCGGAUCGUAAAACUCUGUUGUCAGAGAAGAACAAGUUGGAGAGUAACUGCUCCAGCCUUGACGGUAUCUGACCAGAAAGCCACGGCUAACUACGUGCCAGCAGCCGC